GAUGAAGAACGUAGCGAAAUGCGAUACGUAAUGUGAAUUGCAAAUUCAGUGAAUCAUCGAGUCUUUGAACGCACAUUGCGCCCCCUGGUAUUCCGGGGGGCAUGCCUGUCCGAGCGUCAUUGCUGCCCUCAAGCACGGCUUGUGUGUUGGGCCCCGUCCUCCGAUCCCGGGGGACGGGCCCGAAAGGCAGCGGCGGCACCGCGUCCGGUCCUCGAGCGUAUGGGGCUUUGUCACCCGCUCUGUAGGCCCGGCCGGCGCUUGCCGAUCAACCCAAAUUUUUAUCCAGGUUGACCUCGGAUCAGGUAGGGAUACCCGCUGAACUUAUGCAUAUCAAUAAGCGGAGGA
RNAcentral lists this unclassified non-coding RNA (345 nucleotides) under soil metagenome. Its description in RNAcentral is "partial contains 5.8S ribosomal RNA, internal transcribed spacer 2, and large subunit ribosomal RNA". The stretch from base 1 to 119 matches the Rfam family "5.8S ribosomal RNA", at positions 35 to 154 of the family's 154-position model. The record is from RNAcentral.